UACGGAGGGUGCGAGCGUUGUCCGGAAUCACUGGGCGUAAAGGGCGCGUAGGUGGCGCGGGCAGUCAACGGUGAAAGUUCAGGGCUCAACCCUGAAUCGGCCGUCGAUACUCCCGGGCUUGAGCACUGUAGAGGCAGAUGGAAUUCCGGGUGUAGCGGUGGAAUGCGUAGAGAUCCGGAAGAACACCGGUGGCGAAGGCGGUCUGCUGGGCAGUAGCUGACACUGAGGCGCGACAGCGUGGGGAGCAAACAGG
Molecule: ribosomal RNA, 253 nt
Filed under: uncultured bacterium
Lineage: Bacteria
Description: partial 16S ribosomal RNA
Rfam family: Bacterial small subunit ribosomal RNA
Source: RNAcentral